CCUUUCCAUUCCGCUUGCACUCUGAUUCUUGUGGUGUCCCAAGAAGGCCGCGGAUCUCAGUUAAGCAGAGACGAGCCGAACACCUGGCACGGUCCUUCUCUACUGUUCUCUCGAAUCGUUUUCUGAGUGCAUGACUGAGCCUGGCACUGAAGGGAUACUUAUUUUGGGGAAGGAAGAACUCAAAAGUCCAGUUUUUUUCACUGUUGACCCUCAUGUGUCACAUUAGUGGCUUUCAAACUGUUUUGAUCCCAGCCUACGGUGAACAAAAAUAUUUUACAUCAAACUCAAUACCACAUACUUGUUACCUGCUUCCUGUCUGGUUGAUGAAAUGCCAAGGUGAAAGGGAUGGCCAAUUGGAUCAGAGCGCAAGUGCCACUCCAGUCGUUUGGCAGUGUACCCAAUAUUGGUCCCCCACAAUACCACCACACAUCCACUCAGGGAUGGAUAGGGCCGACUGACUGAAAAAAGUUUGAAAAAGUUUAGUGUCACUACAUCCUAUUAUGUUUCCAAGGAAUGUCAAAUUUUCCCCUUGCCAUGAGAGACAUGAGGGGAUAGAGAAGGAGAGGUCCUUGUCUCCAACAUAGAGCAUAAUCUAUCUCCUCUUGAGAAACUGGACUUUUAUCAUUGACAUAUUGGAUCAGGAGUUGGCAUAUCCAGUCCUUGUUCAACCCAAACUUUGGCCAAAAGACCAAAGGUCUGAGGAUGGGUUCCUUAGUCCAAAUAAAACAGCAAUACUUUA
Molecule: long non-coding RNA, 739 nt
Organism: Homo sapiens (human)
Lineage: Eukaryota; Metazoa; Chordata; Mammalia; Primates; Hominidae
Exons: 3
Source: RefSeq, a predicted model, not a curated record